ACUAUAGCCGAAAUAAAGAACGGCAGUAGCAAGGGAAGAUGAUGAGAUUUUAAAAAACCAGUAAAAUACUGAAAAUAUAAAUACAUAGAUUCCACAAAAUCCAGGUGUUAUGAAAGAGCGCCACCACCAGUUGUAGUUUUCGGAACACAAUUGGAAAUAAACAGUGAUAAUGGAAACCAUGAUACAAGUGGUUACUAAAAUACCGAAGCAAAAGAACGAGAAACCGAACAUGAAAUACAAUGGGUGAAACCAUAAACUGUCAAGGAUAGAAAACAAUUCAAUAAGGAUUACGAGGAAUGGUAUAGAUCCACCGAUAAUCGCACUAGGAAAACUCGAAAGCCAAAUACUAUGAGAUGGAAUUUGACGAGGGAUUUGGUUUGUCCUAACAGGUGGGACGAACUCUCGAGAACGAAAGCCGAUUAAAGAACCGACAAAGCUUAAUGGUACAGUAAACAAUAGAUACAGGAAAAUGAGUAGAAGCCAGCUUGAAAAGGGUACAGUUGAUGAUGAACUUUUACUCCAAAAUACCAUGUUAAAGAAAAGAGCUGCCGCAAGCAUAAAACCAGGUACGACAAAAGGAGUUAACAGAAGAUUUCGCUUUCUAAGCAUACCUUGCAUCAGUUUGUAGGAUAAUGCAGAUACAUAACCAGAAACGAAACCUGAUAUAAUGAAUAAGGCCACCGUUGCUGUAGCUAAACUUCCACGACGAGAGGGUGCAACAAUGCCAAAAAUUGCAAAUAAAACGAUACCAGAGCUCAUAAAAAGAAGUUGUGCACCAGUCCCUAAAAGGAUAGAAAAUAGCAUGGGUCUACGAGGUGGACGAAAUACAUCACCAUGAACUAGCUUCCAACCAAAAUCUUCUUGAACAUCUUCUUGAUCGACAAAGGCGCUAUUAUAUUUAUUAAUGUCACGAUUUAGCGUUCUGUACAAAAUAAUAGAAACCACAAAAAUUAGAAAUGUGUCAAUAAUUGCGGAAUGGAUAAUAAAGAUCCAUCGAAUUUGCCUAGAUUCAAUGUGCAUAUAUUUGUCCCAUCGGGUAGCCCAUGGAGUAUCGGAAUAUUUCCAAGAGACUGAGUAAGAGGUCACGAGAGUAAGAUCAGCUCCUUCCGGUAAAUACUGUGGAUUUGAAGACGAAGAACAAACUGGGUUUCCAUCAACUAAAGUAGACUCCUUUGAGACAGGUUUUACAUAAGCACCCACAACACGGUGUUGGUCACUAGAUGUCGUAUGAUAUUCUAUAACUAUAUCAUAAUGAUUGAAUAGAAUUACUCCCUUCUCCGUAUUCUUGCCUAAUGGAAAGCCUGGCGAUAAUGAGUAGUUCUUUGAGUUAGUCCCUUCUAAAUAUGUUGCUACGGGCAGAUUAUCUAUGUUCCAGUUAACAACGUAGUUUUUGGAGAUUAAAUCUCUAAUAAAACUGACAUCUGAACUGGGAAUUAUCGAGGCACACAAGGGAACACAAUCCUGGUUUUCAAGCAUUUUUAUUUCAAUGGGAGAGUUGUAGAGACGGUCGCCAAAAAGCACACUUCCAAGUGACUCAGAUUGUUUUGCGAUAUUCUCUGGUCGACAGAAGUGGAAACGCUCAUCGUAGUCUAAAGUGAAGUUAG
This 1604-nucleotide long non-coding RNA is filed under the name Schizosaccharomyces pombe (fission yeast). The record is from RNAcentral. Lineage: Eukaryota; Fungi; Ascomycota; Schizosaccharomycetes; Schizosaccharomycetales; Schizosaccharomycetaceae.